Molecule: long non-coding RNA, 961 nt
Filed under: Volvox carteri
Lineage: Eukaryota; Viridiplantae; Chlorophyta; Chlorophyceae; Chlamydomonadales; Volvocaceae
Description: long non-coding RNA (VCAR_LNC001057)
Source: RNAcentral
AAUUUGUGUCAGCUAACAAGCGCCGGGCCCAGACAAGCAGGCCUUCUCUUGCUCCCAUUGGCUCCAUCGUCCCAAACAAGAAAUCACGGUUAAGGGAGUCAUACGCCUUAGCUACAUCCAGAAAGGCAACCACAUAGGUAAUUAGGGAAAGUCCUCAGUCCCGCUAAGGUGAUGUCCGACGCAUGUGGUGGUUUGUGGUGGGGUUGCAGGGUGGCGGCAAACUGGCAGUCGGGCCGGUACGGCAUCCCCCCUAACUGCCCAAACUGAUGAGUAAUCACGAGCUCGCCAUUUUGGCAAGUUCCAUGCCAUGGGCAAUGAGUUCCACGCGGAGCCAAGCAAACAAAUACUAAAGUCCCAACGCCAAGAGGUUACCUUGCUUUCUGAAGCAUAGCGCGGCAACUCCAAGCCCACCUCAGCUCCUUGCUCCUAAUUAGCAACAAUAUCCUCGCAUUAUUGCUGCUGUGUAUUUGCAAGUAGCAAUUGAGUCCGCGGACUAUUUCAUCACUGCGACAUCCCUGACGCAACCGUAACCUGCAAAGACAAUGAAGAACUCCGACAGCUCCGACCACAAUUAAAGGCGCACUACAGCGCCAUCGCCGCUCGUAGUUAGACACGUUUGAAUUUAAGCGUUAGCUUGUUCUUUGCAUGCAAAAUGAUUAAAUACACGCGCCCACGACAGAAGGGGAAAAAGGGGAGUCAUAUGGAUCAACAUACUUAAACAAAAGAUAUGUACAAUAUAUGUUCUAUGGCUUAUUGCCGUCAUUUAUAAUGGACCCCAGAAUCUAGUCACAAUAACUCUCUUGGAGCGUCCUGGGAGCUGCCGGCUGUGAGGUUUGGUGGCUAAGUCACUGGCAGUACGCAUCACUCGUACAGCUGUUGUACCUAAGCAAAUGCAGCCGGGGCUGGCAUGCCACGAUACUGUAGCUCUCGUGCUUCUUGGCACAACGCACAUACGGGACAC